ACUUUGAGAGAAAACCCACCGAGCUCGUUUUGACUUCAAGAGCAGCAGAGCCAAAUUUUCAAGGACUCUCUGCUCACAUUUUUUUGUUAUGGUAGUUUGAUAGGGAAGCCUUUUUUAUUCUUGUUUUUUGGUUGUCAGUGAGGAUGAAAGAGAUGGGUCCUUCCUGUUUGACAUUCCUUGCGGAUUUGUUGCAGGUUUCGAUAAGGCUUCUGGAAGGGGUCGUUUCUCUUCUUAUUUGCCUCAUGGACAAUGGUCAUGACUCAUGAACAGGGCAUGGCACAUUUGAAAGAGGAGGUGCGAGUGCGCGCAGAAGAGGUUUGAUGGAGCUUGUCUUCGUUAAAGCUCUGUUGACAUUCUGUUUGCUGCUGCAAAGCCCUUGUUGGUAAUCAACAAGGCUUGGAAAAUUCCACCGGAUUGGUCAUACACCCGUUGAUACACAUGUAUCGUAAACGAGAUUGCGACCGCUCCGGGGACCUCCAUAGCUCCAUGGUGACACAGGUAUAAGAGACGCUGCAUUUAUUUGCCAGGAGAGCACCAUCAUUUGUUGAACCAGCAGUCCUUCACUAGGAGAGCAUCACCAUUUGUUGACGUAGCGGUCCUUCACCAGGAGAGCACCUCAUGGGAAUGGUGUUGUGGUUUUGAUGCGUGCCAAAGAGACUAUUGUGGGCAGCAGCUUGACUUCUCCGUGAUUGCCGAUGUGGUAAUCACCUUGGUCACCAGCAGGAGAUUAUGAGGAUGGAAGCAUCAUAGACACUCCAGAGAUAUUUUUGGCCUUGCUUCAUGGAUCUUGGCACUUGACAAUGUCUGCACCAUGAAAGGAAGAGUUCAGUAAUUUCAGGUGAUAAUCAUUAUAUACCUGUGACUUAUGGAGCUUCUUCUACUGAAACGUGGUCCUCCGUUCGUGGCUUCUCUUGAAAGCUUUAAGGAUGGAAUGCUGUAGGACUCCGGUCGUGAGUGAACUCUAUCUUUUCUGCUCUCCUCUUUCUUGGGUGCCUCAAUGCUGCAGAGCUUUCGCCUAUUUUUCUCUGCCUCCAGUCUUUCUUGAUGCCCCUUUUUUUCUUCCCCUGUUUGCUGCAGAAGACGUGCCUUUUUAUAGGCAACUGGAUAAACUUGAUUAAGAUCGCCAUCAAUUCAAUUCAAAUUGAGGUUAUGAUAACCUUUGUCAAUUUGAAUUGAAACGAUUAUAGCAGCAACCACCUUCUAUCUUCCACGUUGAAAGUUUCUGAUAUCUUUUGGUCAUUCAGACUUUGUAUAGAUAUCAACAUUGACUCGGUCUUGAAUUUGCAAGAUGGGAAGAUUAUCCAAGAUUCUAAAUUUGAAUUGUGAUGCAUUGAGUACCAAUCCACGUGAUGCAUGCAUGAUUUGUUCUAUUGCUUUCUUCUUCUUCUUUGUUAAUUAUUUAUUUUGAAGAUAGAGUUUCUGUUAUGCAUUUGAAGACAACUAGAACUCUUCUUUCUUUGGUCACAACAAACCUAUACAUUAUCAUGCUUUGGAGAUAAUCAAGCUAACCAACUUGAAAGCUACUGGAUUCUCACUUUUGCAUCGAA
Rosa chinensis is the source of this 1547-nucleotide long non-coding RNA. RefSeq lists it as uncharacterized. The record is from RefSeq and is a predicted model, not a curated record. The transcript is spliced from 2 exons. Lineage: Eukaryota; Viridiplantae; Streptophyta; Magnoliopsida; Rosales; Rosaceae.